RNAcentral lists this ribosomal RNA (787 nucleotides) under uncultured Acaulospora. RNAcentral describes it as "SSU rRNA". It matches the Rfam family "Eukaryotic small subunit ribosomal RNA", at positions 325 to 1111 of the family's 1831-position model. Lineage: Eukaryota; Fungi; Glomeromycota; Glomeromycetes; Diversisporales; Acaulosporaceae. The record is from RNAcentral.
AUGGUAGGAUAGAGGCCUACCAUGGUUUUAACGGGUAACGGGGAAUUAGGGUUCGAUUCCGGAGAGGGAGCCUGAGAAACGGCUACCACAUCCAAGGAAGGCGGCAGGCGCGCAAAUUACCCAAUCCCGACACGGGGAGGUAGUGACAAUAAAUAACAAUAUGGGGCUCUUACGAGUCUUGUAAUUGGAAUGAGUACAAUUUAAAUCUCUUAACGAGGAACAAUUGGAGGGCAAGUCUGGUGCCAGCAGCCGCGGUAAUUCCAGCUCCAAUAGCGUAUAUUAAAGUUGUUGCAGUUAAAAAGCUCGUAGUUGAAUUUCGGGAUUUAUCCGUCGGUCGGGCUUUUGGGUCUGUACUGGCGUGAUGGAUUCCUACCCUCUGAAUAACCGGCAUGUCAUUAAUUUGGUGCGCCGGGGAAGCAGGACUGUUACCUUGAAAAAAUUAGAGUGCUUAAAGCAGGCUUAUGCCUGAAUACAUUAGCAUGGAAUAAUGAAAUAGGACGGCAUGGUUCUAUUUUGUUGGUUUCUAGGAUCACCGUAAUGAUUAAUAGGGAUAGUUGGGGGCAUUAGUAUUCAAUUGUCAGAGGUGAAAUUCUUGGAUUUAUUGAAGACUAACUUCUGCGAAAGCAUUUGCCAAGGAUGUUUUCAUUAAUCAAGAACGAAAGUUAGGGGAUCGAAGACGAUCAGAUACCGUCGUAGUCUUAACCAUAAACUAUGCCGACUAGGGAUCGGACGAUGUUAAUUUUUUAAUGACUCGUUCGGCGCCUUACGGGAAACCAAAGUGUUUGGG